AGCUCAGUGAAUGGUCAACUCGCUGCUGUGUGCGCUGUGACCCUUCUGCCUCGCAUUUAGCUGUAUUGUGACACCCUCUUAACCAUUUCCUGUCUCCAUCCGAGGAAAGCAUUGCUAUUUAAGCGGCAGUAUCCCCUAUCUCAGGCCAGCUUGGGGGUGGGCAAGAGGGGAGGUCAAACCAGAUCGAGAAAUGCCGUCCCCUCCCCAGGACACAAUUACUUCUUAUUACUUGGCAUUUCCUCUUAAAACGGGUGUGGAACAUUACACUAGGCAGAAAUUCAAAAAUGAUUAAGAAGGAUGUUGAGCCUGAAAGUAUAAUUAUCCUGAUUAAAUCAUUCUCAUUCUCAUUAAUACCACCGAUCCCUAAAUACCAUUGCAGCAUGCUGGUUCCAUGUUUUGAAAUUCAAAUUGUUCAGCUGCCUUUAAAUUUUAUUUUUAUUAAACCUCCCCUCCACCAACAAAAAUACAAAAAAAAAAAAAAAAAAAAAGAACCAAAAAAAAAAAAAAAAACCAAAACCAAAACCAAAACCAAUUCUGCCUGGCAAAAUUGCAAAGGCAAACUUCCACAGUAAACACGCCCACAGG
RNAcentral lists this long non-coding RNA (585 nucleotides) under Rattus norvegicus (Norway rat). RNAcentral describes it as "long non-coding RNA NONRATT013948". Lineage: Eukaryota; Metazoa; Chordata; Mammalia; Rodentia; Muridae. The record is from RNAcentral.